ACCGCUAGAUGGAGAUACAGUUAGGAGUAAGACAGCUUAAGGCACGGCAAUUUUUUAUUUAUUACUAAAAUUAUGGCUUUUUAUAAUACAAAGGAAAGUACUAAAGAAUAUAAUAAUUUCUUAGCAGCUUUUCAAGAAUUAAAGUUUUCUAAGUUAGAUCAAGAUCUAUUUAGAGUUUUAAACGUUGAACGUCGUUGUCUUGGUGUGAAAUAUUUAGCAGCAAAAAGAUCAGGCUUUGAGGAUGCAGCGAUGUGUUUGCUAGAAAAAGGCUUAAAAGAAUUUCAAUAUCAAAUAGAAAAGAGCGGAGUUUAUUGGAAUUCGAUUGAAAAUAACAUUGUUGAAACUGUUAAUGAUCCUUCACAAUGGAAAUCAGAAUUAAACGAUGUACAAACAGCAAUUGAUUUCAUAGAAUGUUUACCAUGUCAAGAUGAAAAUACUGCAGCAUGCAAAGAAAAGGUAAUUAAUGAUGGACAUAUUAAAGAUAUUGUUGAUAUGUGGAAGACACAAGAUACAAGAAAGAGGAAAUGUAAUAUACAAAGACGCCCUCAAUUUGAAACAAUUAAAACAAAUGAUAAUAAAAUAUCUCAUGCUAAUAAAAGUUCCAUAAGUAACGAAAUGAAAUUCAUAGAAUGUAAUAAAAAGGAAUUACCAAGCUUAAGAAAUGGGGUUUCUUUAUUCAAAACUGCCAGAGAUGAAUUAAAUAUUCAACAAAAUUCAAAGAAUAGGCCAGCACAAAAGAAGACAUUAGGUGGUAAAUCUUCAGUUAAAUCUCCAUUUGUAUGUCCUUUAAAACGUGAGGAAGAUAAAGUAAUGCAGUAUCAAAACAGUAAAAAAGAAAAUGAAGGUGUUUCAGCAGAUGUAGAAGAUGAAAGGAUGAAAAACAUUGAUCCGAAGUUGAUAGAGUUAAUAAAAAAUGAAAUCAUGGACUUACGAACAUCAGUUUCUUGGGAUGACAUAGCAGGACUUGAAUAUGCUAAGAAAAUUAUUCAAGAAGUCAUUGUAUUUCCUAUGUUGAGGCCUGACAUUUUCACCGGCCUACGUAGGCCACCAAGAGGAAUUUUAUUAUUUGGACCUCCUGGUACAGGGAAAACAUUGAUUGGAAGAUGUAUCGCAGUGCAGAGUAAAUCAACAUUUUUUUCUAUAUCAGCAAGUUCCUUGACUUCAAAGUGGAUAGGGGAAGGAGAAAAAAUGGUUAGAGCAUUAUUUGCUGUUGCUAGAGUCAAUCAACCGUCAGUUGUUUUUAUAGAUGAAAUAGACUCUUUGCUUUCUCAAAGAUCAGAAACCGAGCAUGAAAGUUCGAGAAGACUUAAAACUGAAUUUUUAGUACAACUGGAUGGGGCAGCAACUUCAGAAGAUGAUCGCAUUUUAAUCGUAGGUGCAACAAAUAGACCACAAGAAUUAGAUGAAGCAGCGCGUCGUCGUCUUGUUAAAAGGCUCUAUAUUCCAUUACCAGAGUUGCAAGCACGAAAACAAAUUAUAUGCAAUUUAUUAUCAUCGGUAAAACACAAUGUCACAGAACAAGAUAUUACUGAUAUCGCUCAACAAGCAGAAGGUUAUUCAGGUGCUGAUAUGAAAACUUUAUGUACGGAAGCUAGUAUGGGACCAAUCAGAUGUAUUCCAUAUAAUGUGUUACAAGAGAUACCAUCCGAUGAGAUAACACCAGUUACACUUCAGGAUUUUAAAGAAGCUUUACAAAAUGUACGUCCUAGUGUUUCUCAAUCAGAUUUAGCCAUCUAUGUUAAUUGGGAUCGCACAUAUGGUACUGGUUCCCUACAGAACGACGAAGCAGUAGACUCUCCGAAUGUUUAUAAGGAUAAGAAAAAGGUCUUUUGUCUACUUCGUAAAAAAGUUCUAGCAUCGUCGAGGCACAUUUAAAAUCGUAGGCGGUACAGAAGUGCUGAUAAGACCGAUACGCCGACGUAAAGCGACCGUAAAUGGCCCGUAAAAGUAUGAAUGAAGCGUUCUUGGUUAAACGAUAGCAAGCAUCACGCUUCUGUAACGUAGCUUUCUAAAAAGAGCUUCGACUUUUAUGGUAGAAAUAAGAAGAGAAAUUUAUUGAGUAUUAACAAAUUCUCAUCAUGGUUGAACACUAUACGCGUUGCAGUUUAAGCAGAGAAUAAUUUUCAAGGAUGUAAAAGAGUAGUGUUACUAAAAGGAUACAGGAAGUAAAAGGUAAGGUCGUUUCCACGAAAGAAAUAAGGCUUUUGCUUUUAACGAGUCUCAUCCGAGAAUUUCUAUUACAAUCGUCAAUCUUAUAAUCGUCUUGGUGCUUGCUUCCAUAACUCUGUAAUUCGAUGAUCGUUUAAUCACCGAGCGAUAUCCUCAGCGUUUCUCUUGGGUGAGAGUGAGAGCGUUUACGAUCUUUCAAGUACAUUCGCAGGAAAUAAUCGUCGUUGGAAUACCGGUAAUCGACAUGGCACGUGUGUUAAAACGACAUCGAGCAUAAUAUUUCAAGUAUAAAUACGUUCAUGCUCGAUCGAGUAAGGGCAGAAAAAAAAGAAAAAAAGAGAAAAAUAAAGAAAUAUAAAAUAAG
Molecule: RNA transcript, 2533 nt
Organism: Polistes canadensis
Lineage: Eukaryota; Metazoa; Arthropoda; Insecta; Hymenoptera; Vespidae
Gene name: fidgetin-like protein 1
Exons: 6
Source: RefSeq, a predicted model, not a curated record